CAACCAUCAAGCCUGGCUUAUUGUUGGACCCCUUUGCGACUGAAAUAUGUGGCAGGUCCGAAAGAUAAUAACGGUGUCGUGUUUGACCCUAGAUGCAACGAGCUUUUCAUAGCACGCAUUGAAGUGGUCGACCGACCCGGUCUUAACCAUUAUUUUCUAAGGUUGACCUCGGAUCAGGUAGGAAUACCCGCUGAACUUAA
RNAcentral lists this unclassified non-coding RNA (200 nucleotides) under soil metagenome. Its description in RNAcentral is "partial contains internal transcribed spacer 2 and large subunit ribosomal RNA". The record is from RNAcentral.